GACGAACGCUGGCGGCGUGCUUAACACAUGCAAGUCGAACGGAAAGGCCCUGCUUUUGUGGGGUGCUCGAGUGGCGAACGGGUGAGUAACACGUGAGUAACCUGCCCUUGACUUUGGGAUAACUUCAGGAAACUGGGGCUAAUACCGGAUAGGAGCUCCUGCUGCAUGGUGGGGGUUGGAAAGUUUCGGCGGUUGGGGAUGGACUCGCGGCUUAUGAGCUUGUUGGUGGGGUAGUGGCUUACCAAGGCUUUGACGGGUAGCCGGCCUGAGAGGGUGACCGGCCACAUUGGGACUGAGAUACGGCCCAGACUCCUACGGGAGGCAGCAGUGGGGAAUAUUGCAAAAUGGGCGGAAGCCUGAUGCAGCAACGCCGCGUGCGGGAUGACGGCCUUCGGGGUGUAAACCGCGUUCGCCUGUGACGAAGCGUGAGUGACGGUAAUGGGUAAAGAAGCACCGGCUAACUACGUG
This 468-nucleotide ribosomal RNA is filed under the name uncultured bacterium. RNAcentral describes it as "partial 16S ribosomal RNA". It matches the Rfam family "Bacterial small subunit ribosomal RNA", at positions 28 to 507 of the family's 1533-position model. The record is from RNAcentral.